Molecule: long non-coding RNA, 374 nt
Filed under: Medicago truncatula (barrel medic)
Lineage: Eukaryota; Viridiplantae; Streptophyta; Magnoliopsida; Fabales; Fabaceae
Description: lncRNA gene6422
Source: RNAcentral
UCCAACAUAUUAUUCCCUUUAUUUCCAAAUAAAAAUGAACAAGCAGGAAUUGCACUAAACCAGUAAAUCACAAUCACACUAUUCAUUCCAAAGUUACAUUAUUCUUUUCCUCGUCCCCCUAAACUCACCUACUCACUUGUUCAAUGAUGAUGCAUCAAAACCGGGCACAUAUGCCCAAUCCAAAAAUAAAAUACAACAGAAAAGACAACACAAACAUUUAAUUUUACAACUUGAGGAAAACGAAUUCUUCAACAGCAGGAAUGUCUCCAAUCCUUUGCAAAGAUUCUUUGCGUGGUUGCUCAUCAACUCCGAUUGCCAUCACAGCUUGCUUGCGUGGAGCAAUCCUUCCAACACUCAUGAAGCUGACAUUCACA